Small nuclear RNA from Trichechus manatus latirostris (Florida manatee), 107 nucleotides. The record is from RefSeq and is a predicted model, not a curated record. NCBI's taxonomy places the organism in Eukaryota, Metazoa, Chordata, Mammalia, Sirenia, Trichechidae.
GUACUCACUUUGGCAGCACAUAUACUAAAAUUGGUACAAUACAGGGAAGAUUAGCAUGGCAUCUAAGCAAGGAUGACAUACAAAUUUCUGUAGUGUUCCAUAUUCUU